AUUGAACGCUGGCGGCAUGCUUUACACAUGCAAGUCGAACGGUAACAGGUUAAGCUGACGAGUGGCGAACGGGUGAGUAAUGCAUCGGAACGUGCCCGAUCGUGGGGGAUAACACUUCGAAAGAAGUGCUAAUACCGCAUACGAUCUGAGGUUGAAAGCGGGGGACCGUAAGGCCUCGCGCGAUCGGAGCGGCCGAGGUACGGUUAGGGAGUUGGUGGGGGAAAGGCUCACCAAGCCGACGAUCUGUAGCUGGUCUGAGAGGACGACCAGCCACACUGGGACUGAGACACGGCCCAGACUCCUACGGGAGGCAGCAGUGGGGAAUUUUGGACAAUGGGCGCAAGCCUGGUCCAGCAAUGCCGCGUGCAGGAAGAAGGCCUUCGGGUUGUAAACUGCUUUUGUACGGAGCGAAAAGGCUCCCUCUAAUACAGGGGGCUCAUGACGGUACCGUAAGAAUAAGCACCGGCUAACUACGUGCCAGCCGCCGCAGUAA
Molecule: ribosomal RNA, 493 nt
Filed under: uncultured bacterium
Lineage: Bacteria
Description: partial 16S ribosomal RNA
Rfam family: Bacterial small subunit ribosomal RNA
Source: RNAcentral